GGCCAUACACUUGUGUUCGCUCCCGUCAGUGCCUGCGGCUCCACACUCGCGCUCUGAUUCGCGCCUACUUGGGGACCCUGUCCCCACGCUACUCACUACCCUGUCCCCUCCCACCCAUCUAAAAUGUCUAAUAGACUCCAGACCGUCUUUCUGAAAACCGCAGAAGAAAAGUCAGGCUCGCACUGACCCAGUAUGAGAUGGCAUCAAUAUUAAAAAAAGAUAUUCAAGAAAGAAGUAACAAGAAAUAUUCUCAAGGAAACCAUACCAAGGCAUCAUAUCUGAAGAAUGAUGCUGAAUUUAAAAAGAUAUUUGGUCUCACUAAAGAUUUGAGAGUGUGUCUUACUCGAAUUCCUGACCAUCUGAGCUCUACAAAAAGUUUUGAUUCCUUUAACAAUUUGAUGAAAAGUAGUUCUUACAAAGAUGCAAACGUUGUGAUGAAGGAAGAAAAAAAACAGGUAAUAGUUUUUAAAGGUAUGACAUUUUUGUAGGUGUGACAAACAUAUAGCUAUAAUUAUCUUUUAUUUGGUUUUCAAUGUACUUUAGAUUGAGUGAUGAUUUUUUUUUUGCCAAAUUUGUGGAUAUCUCAUGAAACAAUGACAAAUCUUAUACACAGAUAAAAAUAUAUUCUUAGUUAAUUCAAGUUAAGUAUUUUUAGUUACCUUUUUUCUGUUUGUAAUGUAAGAAAAUAGUCAGAAGCCUUACAAAUAGUUAUCCUAUUUCAAAGAAUUAUUUAAAGGAGAUAAGUGUAGGGGAAAAUAUAAACAUAUUGAUAUUCAUUGGAGUAUUAACACUACAUUUUAAGCAGCAUAUAUAGUAAGUAAU
This 822-nucleotide long non-coding RNA is filed under the name Rattus norvegicus (Norway rat). RNAcentral describes it as "long non-coding RNA NONRATT015682". Lineage: Eukaryota; Metazoa; Chordata; Mammalia; Rodentia; Muridae. The record is from RNAcentral.